CCUACGGGCGGCAGCAGUCGAGAAUCAUUCACAAUGGGGGAAACCCUGAUGGUGCGACGCCGCGUGGGGGAAUGAAGGUCUUCGGAUUGUAAACCCCUGUCAUGUGGGAGCAAAUUAAAAAGAUAGUACCACAAGAGGAAGAGACGGCUAACUCUGUGCCAGCAGCCGCGGUAAUACAGAGGUCUCAAGCGUUGUUCGGAAUCACUGGGCGUAAAGCGUGCGUAGGCUGUUUCGUAAGUCGUGUGUGAAAGGCGCGGGCUCAACCCGCGGACGGCACAUGAUACUGCGAGACUAGAGUAGUGGAGGGGGAACCGGAAUUCUCGGUGUAGCAGUGAAAUGCGUAGAUAGCGAGAGGAACACUCGUGGCGAAGGCGGGUUCCUGGACAUUAACUGACGCUGAGGCACGAAGGCCAGGGGAGCGAAAGGGAUUAGAUACCCGGGUAGUC
Molecule: ribosomal RNA, 446 nt
Filed under: uncultured bacterium
Lineage: Bacteria
Description: partial 16S ribosomal RNA
Rfam family: Bacterial small subunit ribosomal RNA
Source: RNAcentral